GUUUUUUAGGGAGAGCCCCAAAAAAGCGAAUUCCAAAAUAUGUUUUUUGCUUUAUGUGCGCAUCCUCUACCUAUUAAGUGUUAAUUAAAUUAAAGGGUUUCUUUUUAGCACACUUCUGCAAGCUAAUAUAUAGUGGGCUUUGGU
RNAcentral lists this ribosomal RNA (144 nucleotides) under Plasmodium knowlesi. Its description in RNAcentral is "partial 18S ribosomal RNA". Lineage: Eukaryota; Apicomplexa; Aconoidasida; Haemosporida; Plasmodiidae. The record is from RNAcentral.